UUGCUUGGCGCUCGUUGAGGUGCGUCACUCUCGGAAUCGUCACUCUCAGAAUCACUCUCACUCACAAGGGUAUCAGUGGAAAUGGAGUUUGUUUCUUCAACUGCAUCUAUAUAAUCAUUGUCCACAAUGUCCACAACUAGCUUCUCUUCUGAAAAAUUAAAACGAACAAUUAUGAUCGAAAUAUACAGUACAUGUCAAAAGAGAAUGAAAAUAGUAUUGUGUUAGUACAGUAGGACGCAUAGUCAACUCUUGGGAGAGGAAGCUUAUUACCUGUUUCAUUCUUAUGCUCUUCUGUGUUCUCCUUGCCCUUCCCGUUCUUUGCCGGUUCCAUCUGAGGGUGGUUUCUGCAAAAUGUGAUGGAAUCUGAGACAAUAUUUUGGUACAAAAAUGUUGCACGUGAGCACAUACGGAUUUCAUGUCUUGGAAAUUCUAGAAGCAUUAUAUGUGUAUAAA
RNAcentral lists this long non-coding RNA (453 nucleotides) under Triticum aestivum (bread wheat). RNAcentral's name for it is "long non-coding RNA (TAES_LNC015302)". Lineage: Eukaryota; Viridiplantae; Streptophyta; Magnoliopsida; Poales; Poaceae. The record is from RNAcentral.